CUUGACUGUAGCUUGGAAUUGGGUUCGGGCUCUUCUUGCGCAGCCUAGGUGGGAGGCGUUGAAGGUUUUCUUUCGGGAAAACUGGAGCCAACAGUGAGAGACCACUCUGGAGGAGUUAGAAUUCUAAUGGCGUUCCUUGAAGCAGGACGCUUGACAGUUUCAGGUGGGCAGUUUGACUGGGGCGGUCACCUCCUAAAAGGUAACGGAGGUGUGCAAAGGUUCCCUCAGGCUGGACGGAAAUCAGCCGGAGAGUGUAAAGGCAGAAGGGAGCUUGACAGCAAGACCUACAAGUCGAGCAGGGGCGAAAGCCGGCCUUAGUGAUCCGACGGUUCCAUGUGGAAGGGCCGUCGCUCAACGGAUAAAAGUUA
Molecule: ribosomal RNA, 368 nt
Filed under: uncultured organism
Description: bacterial LSU rRNA
Rfam family: Bacterial large subunit ribosomal RNA
Source: RNAcentral